RNAcentral lists this long non-coding RNA (2997 nucleotides) under Mytilus galloprovincialis (Mediterranean mussel). The record is from RNAcentral. Lineage: Eukaryota; Metazoa; Mollusca; Bivalvia; Mytilida; Mytilidae.
UUUGGUGAAUUAUUUAAUUAGAAUUGUUAUCUAAACUGUAGCAAAAAAUCCUUAAACAUUCUUAUACAUGAUACUUUUCAAAUAUUGUUCAUAUACUGUAUUGUAAGCAAUAUUUCAUUGUAUGUAUGAUAAAAUAUUUUUCUUUUUUAAUCAAGCCUAUAUUAAAGCAAUAGACAAACUUUUUAAACCUUAUUUAUUUACAUAUUGUUCGUAUUCUAUAUUUUUGAAUAAUUGUUUACAUUCAAUUUAUGAAUCGCAGACAUUUCAAAUUCAUUAGCUAUAGGUGAAGUUUUAUUCUGAUGAUAAUAAAGAAAAUUAUAAGAAUAAUUAAAUAAUUAAUUCAAUGUAUAAUAUUAUCAUUGUAUGUACGUAUGACCUGAGAAUAUAGUCUAUAUACAACAGCAUCGUACGAUGGGCAUGAUGCAACAUGAACCGCUAAAAUAUAAGGACAAGAGAAGGUAAUUGUCUGAGCGUUAUAAAAGCAUAUGAAUUAUAGAAACAGGCUAUUCACUACCUUUAUUUGUAAAGGGUCAUUUAGUCCCUUAUAAGGAAGAGAUAUUUGUGCAUAACCCUUCCAAUUAGAUGCAUCUUACAUAUACUUUAUAGGAGUAUGCAUUACUUUUUUUACCAUAAACUCACUGCAUAUUUCUACUUUGUUUUCAUCGACCCUAUAUACAAUGUUUACCCGAGAAAAAAAAAAGUUCAAAUUACACAGAAGCAUUAUGUCAAAUCAAGACUAAAUUGCACCUCAAUAAUUCCAAAAAAAUAAAUUGCAGCGUAUCAAACAACAUAAGGAAUUAAGUCAUAACAUAAGUAACACAAUCAAGAUGUGUAAAUAUUACAUAGUAUACCCAUUUAAGUGUUUUAAGAACUGAUUUUGAUGUAUUAUUGAUUUGAGAUAUUACAACCUAUCCAAUACCUUUGAAUACGUUUUUACGGUUAGAUAUAAAUCAUACCAUGACUGAAGUACUCAAUAUUGAGCCGAUGAAAACCUCAGGGACAGCGAUGGUAUCAACUAAAUGCAUUAUCAAUGAGGUAAAAAUGACAAGUUAUGCAUUUAAUGAGCCUGAAGUACUUUUCUCGAUAAACCUUAUUUAGGAACUCAAUCCGAAAACUUGAAAGCAACGAUUUGCGUAAAAUCUGAAACUAUCGAGGAACUGUAUGACAAAAAUUACCAAUUUCGUUAAUAAUAUAUGCUUACAUUAAUUAAUACACACAUCAACAACUUUGUAAAGAAGCCAACAGGGCAACCUUAUAUGAUUUUAUUCUGUAUACACAUGUUUUACUGUACCGUCGUACCUGGUGAGAUAUAAUUCGACAGUACAUUUUGAGUCAUUAGUGCACUGUUUGGCAGCAAACUGUUUUAUUACAAAAAAAAAGAACUUUCAAAGAGUUUAUUGACAUCGACGUAACAUAUACAUAAAGAGGAAAAGGAUGAAAAAGAAAAUAAAGAUUACUGCCAUUUUUCUAGUUUGUUUAGAACUAUGCCAGGGGAUGGUAUAAUUGCACACAGAAAUCAAAAAUGUCGAACAUUUACACCAAGUCUCACCAAAAAUAUUGAUGAUUAUCAAAUAAUAUACCCUUUAAAAGUACAAUACCUUACUCAUAGAAACAACAGCAUAAGACGUAUUGCAAUAUAAAGUAUACCUUUUAUUCGCCAUGAUUUGUUUUCACGAUUUCGGAAUGGUAAAUUAAUUUGCUAUAAUGUAUAUUUAUCUUUUUUCUAUUAAUUUCUUUUGUUAGUAAGAGUCCUUGUGAAAGAUGCAAGGACAGAAUGCAGACAUGUUUGGAUGGUUAAGGAACAUAAUCUAGCAACUACGUAUGAAGUACAAGAACAAACAAACUUAUGAAAAUUGUUAAUAAUAUUUCACCAAUAACUUUAAUUGUAAUUUCCUGAACAAUUGAUAUUUCAAUGUUUUUGUAUGGAACGCCAUGACUGUCUUCUGAUGUUGAUUUUUGGUAUGUUCGGUGCUUUGUGUAUUAUGUUCAUUAGUAUUUAUAUCAUGUCCAGUAGUUUUUAUAUUAUGCUCAGUAGUUUUGACAUUAUGUUCAGUAGUUUUGACAUUAUGUUUAGUAGUUUUGACAUUAUGAUCGGUGCUUUGGUUAUUAUGUUCAGUAGUUUCAUUAUUAUAUGCAGUGGUAGUUAAAUUAUGUUGGGUACUUCUGACGAUAUCUUCAGUGCAUUUUUCAUUAUGUUCAGUACUUUAGACAUUAUGUUCAGUAGAUAAAAUAUUAUUUACAGUACAUUAUGUAUUACCUUCAGUGGUCCCGGUUUCUUUAUAUUCGGUGGAUUAUUCAUUAUGUUCAGUAAAAGCAUCAGUAUUAUAUUUUGUUCAAUGCUCUAUAUGUUCAGUGGUUGUAUCAUUAUGAUGAUGCAGUUAAAGUCGGGAAAUCAAUAACGGAAAUUGUCGAAGAAAAAAAAAACCAAAUGCCGAUAUUUUCGACGGACGUUUUCUUUAUGGAAACCUUUACGGGAUUGAAUGAAAAAGGAAGAAAUGGAAGCAGUAUUAACUUGGUUUGGUUUACUUUCACACGUUGACAAUUUUUAUAAGGAAAAAAAUACUCCUGACGUAAUUUUUACGAUGUCCUGAUUGACUGAUAAUAAUGUUUUGAACGUACAGUGGCAAAUAUUUCACGCAUUUGACUGAUUGUUAUUUUUUGAACGUACUUAGUGGCAAAUAUGUCACGCAUAUUCUAUAGCUUUUGAUUUUCUUGUAGGUAACCCUUUUUGUUGGUUUGUUGUAGCAUAUUAAUCUUAGGUACCGACUUUAAACAGACCACCAACCUUGUAGAUAUUCUUAUAGUAUUCUGCAUCCUACAUCUCUAAUAGGCGCUUUAAUAUCAGAUAUUUUUUUGAAAUAACCAAAGAAAUAUGAGGUUGUGGAUGAAGUUUACAGAAUAGAAAAUAAUGCCCACCCCCAAAAACGAAGGUGACAAAAACAUAAAGUACAGAAAAAAAAAAGGGUUGCUUAAAUGUAAAAAAAAAUCUUUCAAACU